GAUGAACGCUGGCGGCGUGCUUAACACAUGCAAGUCGAACGGGAAUUAUUUUAUUGAAACUUCGGUCGAUUUAAUUUAAUUCUAGUGGCGGACGGGUGAGUAACGCGUGGGUAACCUGCCUUAUACAGGGGGAUAACAGUCAGAAAUGGCUGCUAAUACCGCAUAAGCGCACAGAGCUGCAUGGCUCAGUGUGAAAAACUCCGGUGGUAUAAGAUGGACCCGCGUUGGAUUAGCUUGUUGGCAGGGUAACGGCCUACCAAGGCGACGAUCCAUAGCCGGCCUGAGAGGGUGAACGGCCACAUUGGGACUGAGACACGGCCCAGACUCCUACGGGAGGCAGCAGUGGGGAAUAUUGCACAAUGGGGGAAACCCCGAUGCAGCGACGCCGCGUGAAGGAAGAAGUAUCUCGGUAUGUAAACUUCUAUCAGCAGGGAAGAUAGUGACGGUACCUGACUAAGAAGCCCCGGCUAACUACGUG
This 478-nucleotide ribosomal RNA is filed under the name uncultured bacterium. Its description in RNAcentral is "partial 16S ribosomal RNA". It matches the Rfam family "Bacterial small subunit ribosomal RNA", at positions 28 to 507 of the family's 1533-position model. The record is from RNAcentral.